This 253-nucleotide ribosomal RNA is filed under the name uncultured bacterium. RNAcentral describes it as "partial 16S ribosomal RNA". It matches the Rfam family "Bacterial small subunit ribosomal RNA", at positions 524 to 776 of the family's 1533-position model. The record is from RNAcentral.
UACGUAGGUGGCAAGCGUUGUCCGGAAUUAUUGGGCGUAAAGCGCGCGCAGGCGGUCCUUUAAGUCUGAUGUGAAAGCCCACGGCUCAACCGUGGAGGGUCAUUGGAAACUGGGGGACUUGAGUGCAGGAGAGAAGAGUGGAAUUCCACGUGUAGCGGUGAAAUGCGUAGAGAUGUGGAGGAACACCAGUGGCGAAGGCGGUCUGCUGGGCAGUUUCUGACACUGAUGCGCGACAGCGUGGGGAGCAAACAGG